Molecule: long non-coding RNA, 3143 nt
Organism: Acinonyx jubatus (cheetah)
Lineage: Eukaryota; Metazoa; Chordata; Mammalia; Carnivora; Felidae
Exons: 4
Source: RefSeq, a predicted model, not a curated record
CAUUCCAAAAAGAAUUUGAGAGGUGACCAACAUGGCAGCCCACAGAGGAGCCUGGUAAAGAUGUGCCCACACUACAGGGGGAGGAGGGAGGGAGUCCAUGUCCUCCCACGAAACUGCCAUCUCCUCAAUGCAGCCUCAAAGCACCCUUACCCUCAUGUUUUGCGGGGUGUGCCAGAUUUCACAUAUUAUCUACUGGAGCUGUAAAGAUACCCAACAAUGGUGAAAUACUAAGAAAAGGGAAGGGAAAAUCCUCUCUAAACACGACUCUGCCCAAGAUCUGGACCCAGAGACCGCGUCCUCUCCUCGAGAACUGCAUCAGGGCCAGCGAUGCAGUCACUGUCAACACCAAAUGGAUUCCCAAAGAUGGGAUGCGUCUUCUGUCCAGGAAACUUGCCACAGCAAACACAGCCCUGGGCCUGGGACCCACAACAGAGGUCAGACCCCCACAGAACGUGAUUUCCAGAGAAGAAACAGCAAGCUGAGAAAUGAAACAGGUGCGUGGACACCUGUGGGGAAAGCACGGCCUCUCCCACUCUGAACCGUGGCUCCACAGCCCCCUAAGCUUCCAUGAAUUAAAGCAUGCUAUCUGAACCCUUUCUGGUCUGUGGAGGAAAACAAAAACAAAAGCCAGCCACACACCCAGAACAAUCUCCCAAGAUCUAACCGGCUAAGUGCUGGGCUAUAGCAGGUGUCUGUUCUGAGGGCAUAAACCAGGGAAUGGGGGUCACACAAUGUUUACUUUCAGUCUGACUUUCCACACGGUGAAGAUAUCUACACAUAUUUACCACCAUAAAUAUGCUGAUUUCUUCUUUUAUACGUCAGUCUCUUGUGAAUUUGGAUAGUAUGAUCAUCACAAUUUGGUUUACUGACAAAAUCAAGUUUCCAGACCUGCAAAGAUGACACUUGCUUCCCAUGGGGACCUUCUGCCUGGUUCUCACACUGAUGGGUCCCACCCUACACAGCAGUGCAGGGGGUUCUCUACCUGGCUAAGCAGAAAACCAGUGGUGGGUCUGGGUACACCUAGUGCCAUUAGAUGCUCAUGGAGCACACAACUCAACAUGACACCAGGAAGACUCACAAUCUUUGACACUGGAAAACAUCUACUCCAUCUCUCCUACUUUAACUCAGACUAAAUUAAAAUGAAAAUGGACUCCAUUAGAAAUGAGGAUGUCUUUGAGGCGCCUGGGUGGCUCAGUUGGUUAAGUGUCAGACUUCGGCUCAGGUCAUGAUCUCGCGGUCUGUGGGUUCAAGCCCCGCGUCGGGCUCUGUGCUGACAGCUCAGAGCCUGGAGCCUGCUUCAGAUUCUGUGUCUCCCCCUCUCUCUGACCCUCCCCCGGCUCACACACUCUCUCUCUCUCUCUCAAAAUAAAGACACACACAAAAAAAAUUAAAAAAAAAAAAAAGAAAUGAGGAUGUCUCACUGGCAGAAAGGCACAGAGUGGAGACAACGGGGCCACCAGGAUGCAGCAAUCAGCUGUGCGCCUAACACAGGCCUGUCCACCAGCUACAUGCGCAUGUACCACGGUGACUCAACAGUGAGAGUAACCUUACGAGGCCAGAGUAACUCAGUUCCACUCCAAAGAUCUAGCUCUUAGUUCCUCAGUUUCAACCAAGUUUUUCCUAAUAUAAAACCAUCACGAAGGGAAAUCACUCAACAUGAUGUCAUUUGUUAUACCCUUAGGUUAUCAAUAUAAAAAACAAAAUGGGCAAUGUGGCUCAAAAAUACAGUCAUCCUAACAAACUCAGUAACAGAAAUCCACAAUGUGGGACAUUCUGCAAGACCACUGACAUAGCUUCCUCAUCGCAAAAGAUGAAAGAUAUUAGCAGGGGCAAUGGUUGCAGAUAUCAAAUAUAACAACCAAAUGCAAAGUGUGGAUUCUGUUAGGAUCCUAAUUUAAACCAACCAACCAUAAAAUGACAUUCUGACAUGAUCGGAGGGUGAUUUUAAAAUAGAUGUCAUCAAGCAAUUACUUCAAAUUUUGUUAGGUGUGAAAACAACACUGUGGUUAUGUAAGGAUGCCUUCUGUGUUUUUAAAAGGUACGUCCUCUGAGUUGAGAAGUGGAAGUUUCGCGGCCUCUAUGGUGUGCUCCAAAAUACCACAGCAACAAAAACAAAAGGAAAAGGAAGAGAAGGAACGAACAAGAUAGGAACCAUGUGGCAAAAUCUUGACCAUGAUCAUGGAAUUGAAACAAGAACCAUUUUAAAAGCUCCUGUAUUGAAGGAGUAAGGGAACAAAAUGACCAGAGCCAAGGAGGCACAGAGCCAUGAUCUCCGACUGGAGGGGACGAGGCUGGGAGAUGGCACCUACUUCACAUUGACUGGGACAGCCAUGGUCAAAAAAGAUGAGCCAAAACAAAAACAAGUGCUGGCAAGGAUGUGGAGGAGCUGAAACCCUCACGCGUUGCUGGCGGAAAUGCAAAAUGACGUGGCUACUGUGGAAAACGGUUUGGUGGUUCCUCAGAAAGUUAAAGAAAGAAUUCCCACAUGACUCAGCGAUUUACUCCUGGGUGUACACUCCAAAGACUGAAAAGAGACACUCAAACAGAUGCUUGUACACAAACAUUCAGAGCAGCACUAUUCACAACAGUCACAAGAUGGAAAAAACCCACAUGUUCAUCAGCAGAUGAAUAAACAAAAUGUGGUCUAUGCAUACGAGGGAAGAUUACUCAGCCAGAAAAAGAAAUGAGGCUCUGCCACAGGCCAUCGCGCAGAUGAACCUUGAGAACAUUACGCAGAGAGAGAUGUGCCAGGCACAAAAUGACAAAUCAGUCUACUUACAUGAAACACCUACUUUAGGCAAAUUCAUAGAGACAAAAAAAGGAAAGGAGAGUUACUGCUUAAUAGGUACAGAGUUUCUGCUUGGGGUGGCAAGAAUGUUUUACAAACAGGCAAUGAUGAUGGUCACACAACACCGUAAACAUACUUGUGCCACCAAAAGUAGGCUUAAAAAUGGCUGAGGGGCACCUGGGUAACUCAGCCGGUUAAGCUUCUGCUCUUGAUUUCGGCUCAGGUCCUGAUGUCAAGGUUAGUGAGUCUGAGCCCCGAACUGGAAUUCUCUCUCUCCCCCUCUCUCUGCCCCUCCACUGCUCACGCAUGCUCUCUCUCCCUCAAAAAUAAAUAAACUUUAAAAAAUGGCUGAAAU